GACGAACGCUGGCGGCGUGCCUAAUAUAUGCAAGUCGAACGCUUCUUUUUCCACCGGAGCUUGCUCCACCGGAAAAAGAGGAGUGGCGAACGGGUGAGUAACACGUGGGUAACCUGCCCAUCAGAAGGGGAUAACACUUGGAAACAGGUGCUAAUACCGUAUAACAAUCGAAACCGCAUGGUUUUGAUUUGAAAGGCGCUUUCGGGUGUCGCUGAUGGAUGGACCCGUGGUGCAUUAGCUAGUUGGUGAGGUAACGGCUCACCAAGGCGACGAUGCAUAGCCGACCUGAGAGGGUGAUCGGCCACAUUGGGACUGAGACACGGCCCAAACUCCUACGGGAGGCAGCAGUAGGGAAUCUUCGGCAAUGGACGAAAGUCUGACCGAGCAACGCCGCGUGAGUGAAGAAGGUUUUCGGAUCGUAAAACUCUGUUGUUAGAGAAGAACAGGGAUGAGAGUAACUGUUCAUCCCUUGACGGUAUCUAACCAGAAAGCCACGGCUAACUACGUGCCAGCCGCCGCGGUAA
RNAcentral lists this ribosomal RNA (524 nucleotides) under uncultured bacterium. Its description in RNAcentral is "partial 16S ribosomal RNA". It matches the Rfam family "Bacterial small subunit ribosomal RNA", at positions 28 to 523 of the family's 1533-position model. The record is from RNAcentral.